This 196-nucleotide ribosomal RNA is filed under the name uncultured bacterium. RNAcentral describes it as "partial 16S ribosomal RNA". It matches the Rfam family "Bacterial small subunit ribosomal RNA", at positions 326 to 539 of the family's 1533-position model. The record is from RNAcentral.
ACGCUCGACACCUACGAGGCAGCAGUGGGGAAUAUUGCACAAUGGGGGAAACCCUGAUGCAGCGACGCCGCGUGAAGGGAGAAGUAUCUCGGUAUGUAAACUUCUAUCAGCAGGGAAGAAAAUGACGGUACCUGACUAAGAAGCCCCGGCUAACUACGUGCUAGCAGCCGCGGUAAUCUGAGCGGGCUGGCAAGGC